This 21-nucleotide unclassified non-coding RNA is filed under the name Mus musculus (house mouse). RNAcentral's name for it is "oocyte_clustered_small_RNA11898". Lineage: Eukaryota; Metazoa; Chordata; Mammalia; Rodentia; Muridae. The record is from RNAcentral.
AUGGUCAUCAGCAUCAUCGUG